This 387-nucleotide long non-coding RNA is filed under the name Vigna radiata. RNAcentral describes it as "long non-coding RNA (VRAD_LNC002000)". Lineage: Eukaryota; Viridiplantae; Streptophyta; Magnoliopsida; Fabales; Fabaceae. The record is from RNAcentral.
AUAUCAUGAUUGAUACUCACGAAGACAAAAGGGGAUAUCAUGAUUGAUACUCAUGAAGAUGAUUGGGACUAAGACAUGUUCUACUCCAUGCAUUUGAACAACAAGGCUAGGUAUGUUAGGUUUAUAGAGGAGGAGGUUCACUAGGGAGAUACAAUAAUAAUGAGAUCUGAGCUCAACCACAUAAGGGAUUGAUACCACUCUCUACCAAAAACCUUAAGACAAUGGGUUAAUGGGUCUUCACCUUUUAUGAUACUCCACUUUCUCAUUUCUACCAAAUGUGGGAGUUAGACUUAUACUUGGAAUUCUAACAAUCUCCCCCUUCAAGGUUGAUUCCCUUCCACAUUGGUACACUCCCACUCCAAUAGAACAUUUCCAACCACGACCCCG